CCAACUUCUCUCUCUCUCACGCGUCCGAAGCCGACCGGAAAUCGCACCUUUCGUUCUCCAAGCCAUAUCUUCCUCCUCCGGCCACCAAUCUUCACCAAACUUCUUCCAUUGGCUUCGUAUGGUCCUUGUGCACCCGUCUGUGGUGACCUUGAACGGCGGCGCGACCUAUAGCGGCGGCGGCAAGCUCGUUCCGAUUUGAGUUCGAUUUUAGUCAACGCCGGUUUUCUCCUAGCUCCAGCCACCAAAACUUCCUAUCCUUAGCUCUAUGAACUCGCCUCAACCUGCUGAUCAUCAUACCAGAAGGAUCGCACCUUGAGUGACCGGAUUCACGUUCGUCGGAGCUCGACCGGUUUUCGAUCGAAAACCAAAAGCUUUCGAUCGUGAUAUCUCGAGUUGUAGUGCAUCGUUUUGAUUUAUUUUUGAACCAGUGAGUUCGUCUUGAUGUUAUUAACAACUCUCCAGAAGGAAUAAAGGCCUGAAAUUGAAGUUUUUACGUCGAAAUCUUGGCUCGCCGGUUUUUGCAUUUCUUCGCCGGUUUCUGGAAGAUUUCCGGCCACCUUCAACUGUUCUAGCGGGUAGUCAUGCAGGUCAGGAGGAUCAUGGCAGAGAUCGUGCGGAUUGGAGUAUUUGUUUUAGUUUUACAGCCUUGUAAAUUGUGAGCCCUAGGAAUACAAGCCUUGUUCAGCUUGCGCCCGAUCUUCUUUUGUCUCUCUCGCGCUCCUCUCUCUCUCUCUCUCUCUCUCUCUCUCUCUCUCUCUCUCUCUCUCUCUCUCUCUCUCUCUCUCUCUCUCUCUCUCUCUCUCUCUCUCUCUCUCUCAAAUAUCGAUCAAAUCUCUUGAUCGAGAUUGAGCCAGACGCACCGCUUUCAUCAUUCAGUUGCGAUUGAGCUGGCAACUUUUUUUUAUCAAAUCAGAGGAUCCGAUUGAGCAAUCAGAUAUCUUUGACACUUUGACCUUCAGGUGUUCUCGGCUGUGCUCUGCGCAUCCGGAGGUCACUUGCUCUGUUCUUAGUCAUUCAACAGAGUCUUCAGAUCGCAGCCAGCCUCACUGUCUUGGGCUGACCACAGAGUGGAGCUACUUGAUGUUCAAGGGGAUUUAUUUUAUCACAUUGUGACGUUCAUAUAACAUACUUGGCUUGACCUCUGAUCUUGAAUUCAUUUGGAACUUCAAUUCAUAGUUAUUUAGAUUAUAGAGAAUCAGAUUUUCAAGCCAAUUACAUAGAUACAGAAUGCUAAAAACAACAGCUGAAAGUUGAUGGCUCUACUGUUGGACUGUCUCCUUGGAAAGGGCAUUUUGCUCUCCUUAGACAAGCAGAGUUAAAUACAUUGGUGGAUCUGCAUGUGAAUGAGGCAAUGACAACCGAAUUUGAGGCAGAAUCUCAGCCAAAAGAGGCUGAGGAAAGUGUGGUGAUUGAGCAGUCGGGAGUAGUUGAGGUUCCUGGACUAUGUUACAGAAACAUACCUGCUGUUGUUACAACUGCAAUUGGCGAAAUGUGCAGUUUGCGAUGGGCGAGGUUUUUGGUGCUGGGUUUGUUUUGGAUUACUUGCUUUUGGUCCAUAAAGCUUGGUGAUUAGUUUUCUGUAACUUUAUGUCAGAAAUUGAAAUUUAAUGACCUGUUUGUGCAAUAUCAUUGUUUAAAUUCUGCAUGUGUGUAUUCUUCUCUGGAAAGAAGAAUCCAGAUUGGUGAAUUAGUAGUUUAUAUCAAACCCAGAUCAGUAUCAAUGGGAAGAUUACUGUUUAGCUUCAAAGUUUGUAUGGAUUACAAAAAAUUACUACAAUUAGGCAUUA
Molecule: long non-coding RNA, 1787 nt
Organism: Rosa chinensis
Lineage: Eukaryota; Viridiplantae; Streptophyta; Magnoliopsida; Rosales; Rosaceae
Exons: 9
Source: RefSeq, a predicted model, not a curated record